This 2931-nucleotide ribosomal RNA is filed under the name Escherichia coli. RNAcentral describes it as "23S ribosomal RNA". It matches the Rfam family "Bacterial large subunit ribosomal RNA". The record is from RNAcentral. Lineage: Bacteria; Pseudomonadati; Pseudomonadota; Gammaproteobacteria; Enterobacterales; Enterobacteriaceae.
GGGUUGUGAGGUUAAGCGACUAAGCGUACACGGUGGAUGCCCUGGCAGUCAGAGGCGAUGAAGGACGUGCUAAUCUGCGAUAAGCGUCGGUAAGGUGAUAUGAACCGUUAUAACCGGCGAUUUCCGAAUGGGGAAACCCAGUGUGUUUCGACACACUAUCAUUAACUGAAUCCAUAGGUUAAUGAGGCGAACCGGGGGAACUGAAACAUCUAAGUACCCCGAGGAAAAGAAAUCAACCGAGAUUCCCCCAGUAGCGGCGAGCGAACGGGGAGCAGCCCAGAGCCUGAAUCAGUGUGUGUGUUAGUGGAAGCGUCUGGAAAGGCGCGCGAUACAGGGUGACAGCCCCGUACACAAAAAUGCACAUGCUGUGAGCUCGAUGAGUAGGGCGGGACACGUGGUAUCCUGUCUGAAUAUGGGGGGACCAUCCUCCAAGGCUAAAUACUCCUGACUGACCGAUAGUGAACCAGUACCGUGAGGGAAAGGCGAAAAGAACCCCGGCGAGGGGAGUGAAAAAGAACCUGAAACCGUGUACGUACAAGCAGUGGGAGCACGCUUAGGCGUGUGACUGCGUACCUUUUGUAUAAUGGGUCAGCGACUUAUAUUCUGUAGCAAGGUUAACCGAAUAGGGGAGCCGAAGGGAAACCGAGUCUUAACUGGGCGUUAAGUUGCAGGGUAUAGACCCGAAACCCGGUGAUCUAGCCAUGGGCAGGUUGAAGGUUGGGUAACACUAACUGGAGGACCGAACCGACUAAUGUUGAAAAAUUAGCGGAUGACUUGUGGCUGGGGGUGAAAGGCCAAUCAAACCGGGAGAUAGCUGGUUCUCCCCGAAAGCUAUUUAGGUAGCGCCUCGUGAAUUCAUCUCCGGGGGUAGAGCACUGUUUCGGCAAGGGGGUCAUCCCGACUUACCAACCCGAUGCAAACUGCGAAUACCGGAGAAUGUUAUCACGGGAGACACACGGCGGGUGCUAACGUCCGUCGUGAAGAGGGAAACAACCCAGACCGCCAGCUAAGGUCCCAAAGUCAUGGUUAAGUGGGAAACGAUGUGGGAAGGCCCAGACAGCCAGGAUGUUGGCUUAGAAGCAGCCAUCAUUUAAAGAAAGCGUAAUAGCUCACUGGUCGAGUCGGCCUGCGCGGAAGAUGUAACGGGGCUAAACCAUGCACCGAAGCUGCGGCAGCGACGCUUAUGCGUUGUUGGGUAGGGGAGCGUUCUGUAAGCCUGUGAAGGUGUGCUGUGAGGCAUGCUGGAGGUAUCAGAAGUGCGAAUGCUGACAUAAGUAACGAUAAAGCGGGUGAAAAGCCCGCUCGCCGGAAGACCAAGGGUUCCUGUCCAACGUUAAUCGGGGCAGGGUGAGUCGACCCCUAAGGCGAGGCCGAAAGGCGUAGUCGAUGGGAAACAGGUUAAUAUUCCUGUACUUGGUGUUACUGCGAAGGGGGACGGAGAAGGCUAUGUUGGCCGGGCGACGGUUGUCCCGGUUUAAGCGUGUAGGCUGGUUUUCCAGGCAAAUCCGGAAAAUCAAGGCUGAGGCGUGAUGACGAGGCACUACGGUGCUGAAGCAACAAAUGCCCUGCUUCCAGGAAAAGCCUCUAAGCAUCAGGUAACAUCAAAUCGUACCCCAAACCGACACAGGUGGUCAGGUAGAGAAUACCAAGGCGCUUGAGAGAACUCGGGUGAAGGAACUAGGCAAAAUGGUGCCGUAACUUCGGGAGAAGGCACGCUGAUAUGUAGGUGAAGUCCCUCGCGGAUGGAGCUGAAAUCAGUCGAAGAUACCAGCUGGCUGCAACUGUUUAUUAAAAACACAGCACUGUGCAAACACGAAAGUGGACGUAUACGGUGUGACGCCUGCCCGGUGCCGGAAGGUUAAUUGAUGGGGUUAGCCGCAAGGCGAAGCUCUUGAUCGAAGCCCCGGUAAACGGCGGCCGUAACUAUAACGGUCCUAAGGUAGCGAAAUUCCUUGUCGGGUAAGUUCCGACCUGCACGAAUGGCGUAAUGAUGGCCAGGCUGUCUCCACCCGAGACUCAGUGAAAUUGAACUCGCUGUGAAGAUGCAGUGUACCCGCGGCAAGACGGAAAGACCCCGUGAACCUUUACUAUAGCUUGACACUGAACAUUGAGCCUUGAUGUGUAGGAUAGGUGGGAGGCUUAGAAGUGUGGACGCCAGUCUGCAUGGAGCCGACCUUGAAAUACCACCCUUUAAUGUUUGAUGUUCUAACGUUGACCCGUAAUCCGGGUUGCGGACAGUGUCUGGUGGGUAGUUUGACUGGGGCGGUCUCCUCCUAAAGAGUAACGGAGGAGCACGAAGGUUGGCUAAUCCUGGUCGGACAUCAGGAGGUUAGUGCAAUGGCAUAAGCCAGCUUGACUGCGAGCGUGACGGCGCGAGCAGGUGCGAAAGCAGGUCAUAGUGAUCCGGUGGUUCUGAAUGGAAGGGCCAUCGCUCAACGGAUAAAAGGUACUCCGGGGAUAACAGGCUGAUACCGCCCAAGAGUUCAUAUCGACGGCGGUGUUUGGCACCUCGAUGUCGGCUCAUCACAUCCUGGGGCUGAAGUAGGUCCCAAGGGUAUGGCUGUUCGCCAUUUAAAGUGGUACGCGAGCUGGGUUUAGAACGUCGUGAGACAGUUCGGUCCCUAUCUGCCGUGGGCGCUGGAGAACUGAGGGGGCUGCUCCUAGUACGAGAGGACCGGAGUGGACGCAUCACUGGUGUUCGGGUUGUCAUGCCAAUGGCACUGCCCGGUAGCUAAAUGCGGAAGAGAUAAGUGCUGAAAGCAUCUAAGCACGAAACUUGCCCCGAGAUGAGUUCUCCCUGACUCCUUGAGAGUCCUGAAGGAACGUUGAAGACGACGACGUUGAUAGGCCGGGUGUGUAAGCGCAGCGAUGCGUUGAGCUAACCGGUACUAAUGAACCGUGAGGCUUAACCUUACAACGCCGAAGGUGUUU